This 1308-nucleotide long non-coding RNA is filed under the name Lactuca sativa (garden lettuce). Its description in RNAcentral is "long non-coding RNA (LSAT_LNC001355)". The record is from RNAcentral. Lineage: Eukaryota; Viridiplantae; Streptophyta; Magnoliopsida; Asterales; Asteraceae.
UUGAAUCCAAUACUCAGAACUUAUGAGCACUCAUGGGUGUUGUAGCCAUUUGUCCAACACCUUAGACCUCUACAAGCUAACCCAUGAUAGUCUUAAUUCAUAUCUACUUUCAACAUAUGAUCGACUGUGGAUGGUUCGAAUAACUUAGUCAUUCCGGAAGAAUAACCUAGUUUAUUCUGGAAGUCAAAACAUGCAAAAUGAAACACAAUAAUAAUCGAAUCCAAUAUGGUCUCAGAACUUAUGAAUAUAAAUAAAACACCUUUUAUUUAUCACCAUAUGAUUACACAAUAUCCAUUGUAUACUGUUUCAGCUAUCAACAUUAUUCUUGAAUUUAAAAGAAUAGUUGUCCCAUGCUCCAAGCAUGUACACUAUGUUUUCUAAACACUAGUCAUGCCAUACACCAACUAUGCAUACUAUGUUUGUCUAUGAUCUUUACUUUCUGAAAUAGAUUAACUGAACAUAACUCCAAUGAUCCGUUUUCACAAUCCCAAAUCCUUACUGCAAAUGCAUGAAUUCCAAACUCAUGCUAUUUACUGAAAUCUGGUAGAUUCUAAACUUAUAUGCAUUGAUCUUCUUGUAAUGAUUAUGCACAACUUCACAAAGACUUGGCACCAAUCAUUACAGAGUAUUCCAAAGGGGAUCAGCUCCUUGGAAACAAUGCGCUUUCGUGCAAUCAAUGUACUACCAACUCAUAGUAAGAACUCAUAUCUCUAGGUUUGAAGAAUAUAAGAUAUUAUCGUCUCAUGAUCACUCGUGAUAAAAUCCAUGAAGUGAUUCCAAUGAGCGCGGGUUGAAUCCAAUACUCAAAACUUAUGAGCACUCAUGAGUGUUGUAGCCCUUUGUCCAACACCUUAGACCUCUACAAGCCAACCCAUGACAGUCUUAAUUCAUAUCUACUUCCAACAUAUGACCGACUGUGGAUGGUUUGAAUAACUUAGUCAUUCCGGAAGAAUAACCUAGUUUAUUCGGGAAGUCAAAACAUGCAAAAUGAAACACAAUAAUAAUCGAAUCCAAUAUGGUAUCAAAACCUAUGAACAUAAAUAAAACACCUUUUAUUUAUCACCAUAUGAUUACACAUUAUUCAUUGUAUACUGUUUCAGCUAUCAACUUUAUUCUUGAAUUUAAAACAAUAGUUGUCCCAUGCUCCAAGCAUGUACACUAUGUUUUCUAAACACUAGUCAUGCCAUACACCAAGUAUGCAUACUAUGUUUGUCUAUGAUCUUUACUUUGUGAACUAGAUCAAUUGAACAUAACUUCAAUGAUUCUCUUUUCACACUCCCAAAUCCUUACUGCAAAUGCAAGAAUUCC